UAAGGUUAAGUUAAUAAGGGCGCACGGUGGAUGCCUUGGCACUAGGAGCCGACGAAGGACGUGACAAACGACGAUAUGCCUUGGGUAGCUGUAAGUAAGCGAUGAUCCAGGGAUUUCCGAAUGGGGGAACCCAACAGGUAAUACCUGUUACCCACAUCUGUUAAGGAUGUGAGGAGGAAGACGCAGUGAACUGAAACAUCUAAGUAGCUGCAGGAAGAGAAAGCAAAAGCGAUUGCCUUAGUAGCGGCGAGCGAAACGGCAGGAGGGCAAACCGAAGAGUUUACUCUUCGGGGUUGUAGGACUGCAAUGUGGACUCAAAGAUUAUAGAAGAAUGAUUUGGGAAGAUCAGCCAAAGAGAGUAAUAGCCUCGUAUUUAAAAUAGUCUUUGUACUUAGCAGUAUCCUGAGUACGGCGGGACACGUGAAAUCCCGUCGGAAUCUGGGAGGACCAUCUCCCAACCCUAAAUACUCCCUAGUGACCGAUAGUGAACCAGUACCGUGAGGGAAAGGUGAAAAGCACCCCGGGAGGGGAGUGAAAUAGAACCUGAAACCGUGUGCCUACAACAAGUUCGAGCCCGUUAAUGGGUGAGAGCGUGCCUUUUGUAGAAUGAACCGGCGAGUUACGUUAUGAUGCGAGGUUAAGUUGAAGAGACGGAGCCGUAGGGAAACCGAGUCUGAAUAGGGCACCUUAGUAUCAUGACGUAGACCCGAAACCAUGUGACCUACCCAUGAGCAGGUUGAAGGUGCGGUAAGACGCACUGGAGGACCGAACCAGGGCACGUUAAAAAGUGCUUGGAUGACUUGUGGGUAGCGGAGAAAUUCCAAACGAACUUGGAGAUAGCUGGUUCUCUCCGAAAUAGCUUUAGGGCUAGCGUCGACAUUAGAGAUUCUUGGAGGUAGAGCACUGUUUGGGUGAGGGGUCCAUCCCGGAUUACCAAUCUCAGAUAAACUCCGAAUGCCAAUGAAUUAUGGUCGGCAGUCAGACUGCGAGUGCUAAGAUCCGUAGUCGAAAGGGAAACAGCCCAGACCACCAGCUAAGGUCCCAAAAUAAUUGUUAAGUGGAAAAGGAUGUGGGGUUGCACAGACAACUAGGAUGUUAGCUUAGAAGCAGCUAUUCAUUCAAAGAGUGCGUAAUAGCUCACUAGUCGAGUGACCCUGCGCCGAAAAUGUACCGGGGCUAAAACAAUUUACCGAAGCUGUGGAUACCUUUAUAGGUAUGGUAGGAGAGCGUUCUAUGUGUGAUGAAGGUAUACCGUGAGGAGUGCUGGAACGCAUAGAAGUGAGAAUGCCGGUAUGAGUAGCGAAAGACAGGUGAGAAUCCUGUCCACCGUAAGACUAAGGUUUCCAGGGGAAGGCUCGUCCGCCCUGGGUUAGUCGGGACCUAAGGAGAGACCGAAAGGUGUAUCCGAUGGACAACAGGUUGAUAUUCCUGUACUAGAGUAUGUAGUGAUGGAGGGACGCAGUAGGCUAACUAAAGCAGACGAUUGGAAGAGUCUGUCUAAGCAGUGAGGUGUGAAUUGAGUCAAAUGCUUAAUUCUAUAACAUUGAGCUGUGAUGGGGAGCGAAGUUUAGUAGCGAAGUUAGUGACGUCACACUGCCAAGAAAAGCUUCUAGCGUUUAACCAUACUCUACCCGUACCGCAAACCGACACAGGUAGUCGAGGCGAGUAGCCUCAGGUGAGCGAGAGAACUCUCGUUAAGGAACUCGGCAAAAUGACCCCGUAACUUCGGGAGAAGGGGUGCGGACUCUAAG
Molecule: ribosomal RNA, 1751 nt
Filed under: Staphylococcus aureus
Lineage: Bacteria; Bacillati; Bacillota; Bacilli; Caryophanales; Staphylococcaceae
Description: partial 23S ribosomal RNA
Rfam family: Bacterial large subunit ribosomal RNA
Source: RNAcentral